This 428-nucleotide unclassified non-coding RNA is filed under the name soil metagenome. RNAcentral's name for it is "partial contains 5.8S ribosomal RNA, internal transcribed spacer 2, and large subunit ribosomal RNA". The stretch from base 1 to 120 matches the Rfam family "5.8S ribosomal RNA", at positions 35 to 154 of the family's 154-position model. The record is from RNAcentral.
GAUGAAGAACGCAGCGAAACGCGAUACGUAAUGUGAAUUGCAGAAUUCAGUGAAUCAUCGAAUCUUUGAACGCACCUUGCGCCCCUCGGCAUUCCGAGGGGCAUGCCUGUUUGAGUGUCACGGAUCCUUCGAACCCCGCCGGUCUCCGACGAGCCGGCCGCCUGGGUUCGGUCCUGGGCGCUACGCCACCCCUCCGGGGCCGGCCCGCCUCAAAAGCAUCAGCUGGGCCUCGCGGCGUGGGCGGGCUCCGAUCGGCGUGAUAAGUCAUCUGCCGAGAGGGUGCCCGUCCGUCCCGCGGAUCGCGGUCCGCUCCCAACCCCUCCCCGCGCGCCGUCCCCCCCCGGGGAGCGCGCGGGGACGUUUCGACGCUCUGGCCUCAAAUCAGGUAGGACCACCCGCUGAACUUAAGCAUAUCAAUAAGCGGAGGA